This 440-nucleotide ribosomal RNA is filed under the name uncultured bacterium. RNAcentral's name for it is "partial 16S ribosomal RNA". It matches the Rfam family "Bacterial small subunit ribosomal RNA", at positions 338 to 795 of the family's 1533-position model. The record is from RNAcentral.
CCUACGGGAGGCAGCAGUGAGGAAUAUUGGGCAAUGGAGGCAACUCUGACCCAGCCAUGCCGCGUGAGUGAAGAAGGUUUUCGGAUUGUAAAGCUCUUUCGGAUGUGACGAUGAUGACGGUAGCAUCUAAAGAAGCCCCGGCUAACUUCGUGCCAGCAGCCGCGGUAAUACGAAGGGGGCAAGCGUUGUUCGGAAUUACUGGGCGUAAAGGGAGUGUAGGCGGUUUAGUAAGAUAGUGGUGAAAUCCCAGGGCUUAACUUUGGAAUUGCCAUUAUAACUAUUAGACUAGAAUUACAGAGAGGAUAGUGGAAUACCCAGUGUAGCGGUGAAAUGCUUAGAGAUCAUACAGAACACCGAUUGCGAAGGCAGCUUACCAAUCUAUAUCUGACGUUGAGGCACGAAAGCGUGGGGAGCAAACAGGAUUAGAUACCCUGGUAGUC